AGAAAAACAGGGACAUCAACCAGCAAAGAUGCAUCCUCAUUUAAUAGAGCUUGAAAUUACUAUAAUCUGUAAAGUACAGCGAGAAGAAGAAGUUUCACCUGCCUGCACAUCUGUCGUUGACUCUCCAUCUGACUUGGAGGGACUCUGAGGGACCAACCUGAGCCUGAGAAGAGGCAAGAUUCCCCUUCAAGGACACACUGGGAACUUACGGACCUCUUUCUCCAUGGUGCAGAGCGCAGAGGCUACCUGAGAAUAUCCAGAGACUACAGAGGUCAUCAAGUUGACGCAUCAAUGUUUACAUGUAGACAUCACCUUGUGACUCAACAGCAGCCAAUAAGAUGGAAAUAAAGGCCAUGAAGUUAUCGGAUGGCAUCUACAAGGAAUACUUAGAUGAGGAGGUGACUCUGGUAGCAAUUGUUCUUUUGUCUUUCUCACCUUCCUUCUUGUCCUGUCUGGGAUGCUGAAGUGAUGGCUGGUAUACAGAUGCCCUGUUGUGAUGUUGAGAUAAACAUGAGAAUAAAAGUCGGCGAUUACAGAUGGCAGAGAAGAGAGAGAAAGAUAGGAUGUAGGUGGAUAUUGACGGAACUAAGUUUCUAUUGCACAAGUUCUACCACCAACCUCUGGACUUCAUGAUAUGUGAGGGAGAAAUAAACUCCUAUUUUAGAAGAGAUCUAUGUUACCUGCAACUGAACGGAAUGCUUAAUUGGCACAUCCUAUGUGCUCCAAACCUUCCUUAAUUUCUGUGUGUAAGGCAUACUUAGUCUUUACCCAUUAUUCUGUUCACAUUCAUUCACUUGAUCAGCCUCCCAACUCUAUGGUAAAGAGUUUACUACAGUUUACUCUAUUAGUAAGGGAGAUUCUGGAGCAAGCCCCACAAAUCAUAGAUUGAAUACCCAUUCAUUAAGAGAGAGAUUUAAAGAUACUUCUAUCCAAACACAUUUUAAAUUUCCAGCACCUUUGAGGUGGUGGAGGUUCAUGGUGGUUGAUAGGGUUUAAAUGACUUGUGAUUCAAGCUCCAUAUUACAAUGUAACAGUGCAAAAGUUCAUUUUUUUAAAUUUAUUUUACUUUAAGUUCUGGUAUACAUGUGUAGAACAUGCGGGUUUGUUACAUAGGUAUACAUGUGCCAUGGUGGUUUGCUGCACCUAUCAAACCGUCACCUAGGUUUUAAGAACCACAUGCAUUAGGUAUUUGACCUAAUGCUCUCCCUCAUGUUGCCCCCCAACUCCCUGACAGGGCCCAGUGUGUGAUGUUCCCCUCCCUGUGUCCAUGUGUUCUCAUUGUUCAACUCCCACUUAUGAGUGAGAACAUGUGGUGUUUGAUUUUCUGUUCCUGUGUUAGUUUGCUGAGAAUGAUGGCUUCCAGCUUCAUCCAUGUCCCUGCAAAGGACACGAACUCAUUCUUUUUUAUGGCUUCAUAAUAUUCCAUGAGUCUGGAUUUGGUUACAGAUAGAGCUGGACAAGCCUUAGCUAUAUCUAAUGGCUUUUGACAUGUUAUAUCAAUUUCUUACUGCUUUUGUAAAUGAAUAUAUUAAGAAGAAAAAAUUACAAAUGACCCUUUCUUCACAAACUUUUAGGGUAAUCAAGUUCAGUUAUUAAAAAAUGGAUGUUUGCAACAUUCAUAGUAAUUAUUUUCAGAAAAUUAAAAAUGAUUAAAAAUUAUAUUUUCAUCCCAUUCAGAUAUUAUAUAUUUAACUGUGAGAUAAUUCUCAG
Homo sapiens (human) is the source of this 1710-nucleotide long non-coding RNA. Ensembl annotates it as long intergenic non-protein coding RNA 507. NCBI's taxonomy places the organism in Eukaryota, Metazoa, Chordata, Mammalia, Primates, Hominidae. The record is from Ensembl.